Gorilla gorilla gorilla (western lowland gorilla) is the source of this 8987-nucleotide long non-coding RNA. RefSeq lists it as uncharacterized. The record is from RefSeq and is a predicted model, not a curated record. Lineage: Eukaryota; Metazoa; Chordata; Mammalia; Primates; Hominidae. The transcript has 4 exons.
CUGCUGGAGGCGUUCAGAGCGCGGAGGCCCCGGGCGCGGGCCGGGCUCUCUCCCGCCUCCUCAGGCCCGGGGGUGCUGGAACUGCCGAGUGUCUUUGCUCAGUUCAAAAGCCACAGAAGAAGUUCUGGACGAUGUGGGCCUUCAAUCUUGUAAGAUGGGAAUAGAAAGAAGAGGAUCUACUCAGACCAGGACCCUGCUGCCCAAUCUCAGCUCUGGCUUUCUGGAUCUGUGCUUCUCUGGUAGAGGAACCCUGAGGACUGAUCUACUCUUGCAGUUCUAAAACCAUGGCCCAUGUAAGUUCACGUUUUUCUCCUUGUUGAAAUAUGUGUGUGUUGGCCAGGCACGGUGGCUCAGGCCUGUCAUCCCAACACUUUGGGAGGCCAAGGCGGGUGGAUCACCUGAGGUCAGGAGUUUGACACCAGCCUGACCAACAUGGUGAAACCCUGUCUCUACUAAAAAUACAAAAACAGCCCAGCAUGAUGGCAGAUGCCUGUAAUCCCAGCUACUCAGGAGGCUGAGGCAGGAGAAUCGUUUGAACCUGGGAGGCAGAGGUUGUAGUGAGCCAAGAUUGUGCCACUACACUCCAGCCUGGACAAGAGUGAAACUUGGUCUCAAAAAAAAAAAAAAAAAAGAAAUAUGUGUGUGUUUUUAGGUCAUGAAGGUAUUUUUAUUAAUUUUCCUGAAAUUUCCUACCAGGAGAGGUUCAUCAAAUAACAUGCUUCCAGCUCUUAUUCUUCCAGUUCCCAGCAUCCACCCAAUAUGUCCCAUUAUAAACUUCCUUUGUUCAUGUAAUUACUGAGCAAAUUAUUCAGCAUGUCUUAAGAGCCCUCUCUCAAGGGCAGUGGUGGAGUUAAGUCCUUUUAAGUAAAGAUUUGUGCUUUUUGGGUCAAGUCUAGUUUGGUAAGAUAGAGUCAAUGGUUGUAUUUGACCAUCCAUAACAAACUUAAAUUAUCACCGACUGGAGAUUUCCAGGAAGUGAAGAUGGAAAUUUGGUAUUGAAUGAUCAAACUCAGUCAUUCAUUGGGUGAAAUCUCAUGCUUUGUGUGGUUCAGUAAAUGACUGGGGACUUGCAAACUUGGAGGUUAUGGAUUUUGGCAAGAAACCCCUCAGGAAUAAAUAUCAGGACUAUUCUGAUGUUGGAUGGAACCUACUAAAUUUAGAUGACAUGUAUAUAAUUCAUUAUCCUUCCUUAGUAUUCUUUAACUCAAUGCAUUUAUCUAUUAUUACAUAACAAAUUAGACCAAAACUUAAUGGCUUAAGACAGCAAACAUUUAUCUCACAGUUUCUUUGGAUCAGAAAUCCAGACAUGGCUUAGCUUGCCUCUCUGGCUCUCGAUCUCCUACAAGGAGAUCCAGGUUUUGGUCAGGACUACAGUCAUCUUAAGGCUUAACUUGGGGUGGAUCUUUUUCUAAGCUCACUCAACUAGUUGUUAACCGGAUCCAGUUUCUCACAGGCUUCAGACUGACAGUCUUAGUUCCUCAUUCGCUGUUGCCUGGAAGCUGCUCUUGGUUUAUUGUCAUGUGGGUCUGUCCAUAGAAUAGCUUAAAACAUGGUAGCUGUGUUUUAAUCAGUGAGCAAAUGAGACAUCAAGAGAGGGAGAGAAAUACAGAAAAAGUGCUGAAGUAACAUUUCAGCACUGUAGCUAUUCUGCUUAUUAAGAGCAAGUCACUUGGUUCAGCCCACGUGCAAGGGAAGGAGAUUACACAAGCACGUAAUACUAGGGGAUGGGGAUAUUUGGUAACCUAUAUAGCAAGCCAGGUGCUCAGUGAGAGAUGGUAGAGAGCCACAAAAGAGAAUGUCAUUAUAAGUAGCAAGUGAACACAGAAUCCUAGAACUGGGGAAGAUCUUAAAAAUGUUGUGUAUCCUAACUGCAUUGUAAACAACUAAGUCUGAUAUUGCCCUAAGAUAUAGUUCUCAUGUGCCCCCAAAAUACAUGGAUUUGUCAAAACAAGAGAAAAAUGCUUAUGGUGAGAUCCGAUGUAAUGAAGUAUUUAAUGCUUGAGAGAAUUCUUAAUUUUAUGUAAACCCUGUUUUCUAAAAUCAAGGCCAGGUGCUGUAAUCCCUGUAAUCCCAGGUGUUCACACCUGUAAUCUCACCACUUAGGAAGGCUGAUAUGGGAGGAUUGCUUGAGACCAGGAGUUCAAGACCAGCCUGGCCAACACAGCAAGACCCUGUCUCUAUUAAAAAUAAUAAUAAUCAAAUGAGACUUUAUACUUCAUUUGGGGAAAAUAUCUGAUUAAAUUUUUUGCUCCUCUUAAAAGCAAAAAUUUUCCCCAGCAACUCAUAUGUAUUUAAAAAUUUAUAUGGCAGAUACCAAUCAGACAUUAUGCUUAUAUUCACUGUUUACUUUCAUAGGCAAACAUUAUUAUUUUAUUUAUUCCCAAAUGGUGCAAGUAUUUUAGAGUAUGCCACAUAGUUUUCUAUAUGCCAGCAGUCUUUUUCAAAAAUAUGUAUACAUUCCACUUCAGUCCCCCUCAUACUGUAAAUUUGUAGACAACAUGCUUGUUACAUUGCUCUCUUCCUGCAAUACAGUCCUUAUUUCCCCUCCAUCCAUCUUGAAAGUAUUCCUUUAAUUUCUCCAGUAACAGUAUGGGUUUGCCGUUUCGGGCAUCAAUGACAUUCAGGGAUGUGGCCAUAGACUUCUCGCAGCAGGAGUGGGAAUGUCUCGACCGUGUUCAGAAGACCUUGUAUUGGGAUGUGAUGAUGGAGAACUGUAGUAACUUGGACAUGACUUUUCUAAGCCAGAUGUAAUUACAUCAUUGGAGCAAGGAAAAGAGCCCUGGAUGAUUUUAAGGGAAGAAAAAGGAAGAUGGUGUACAGGUAAAAAUAAGUCUGACUGUGGGAAGCCAUCUGUGUAAAUAACAACCUGUGUGGUCAGGGAAGAGACAUACACUUGGGAUGUUAGUUGGAAAUCUCCAUUCACAGCAGAGAAAAGGCGUGUGAUUUAUAAGGAAGAUAAAUACUCUGCAUAAGCUACCCAGUGAGCUUCACCUUCACCUUCACCUUAGUUAACCACUCACUUUUUUUUUUAAAUUAUCCUUUAAGUUCUAGGGUACGUGUGCACAACGUGUAGGUUUGUUACAUAUGUAUACAUGUGCCAUGUUGGUGUGCCGCACCUGUUAACUUGUCAUUUACAUUAGAUAUAUCUCCUAAUGCUACCCCUUCCCCUACCCCCACUCCAUGACAGGCCCUGCUGUGUGAUGUUCCCCACUCUGUGUCCAAGUGUUCUCAUUGUUCAGUUCCCACCUGUGAGUGAGAACAUGCAGUGUUUGGUUUUCUGUCAUUGCAAUAGUUUGCUCAGAAUGAUGGUUUCUAGCUUCAUCCAUGUCCCUACAAAGGACAUGAACUCAUCCUUUUUUAUGACUGCAUAGUAUUCCAUGGUAUAUAUGUGCCACAUUUUCUUAAUCCAGUCUAUCAUUGUUGGACAUUUGGGUUGGUUCCAAGUCCUUGCUAUUGUGAAUAGUGCUGCAGUAAACAUACGUGGGCGUGUGUCUUUAUAGCAGCAUGAUUUAUAAUCUUUUGGGUAUAUGCCCAGUAAUGGGAUGGCUGGGUGAAAUGGUAUUUCUUGUUCUAGAUCCUUGAGGAAUUGCCACAGUCUUCCACAAUGGUUGAACUAGUUUACAGUCCCACCAACAGUGUAAAAGCAUUCCUAUUUUUCCACAUCCUCUCCAGGACCUGUUGUUUCCUGACUUUUUAAUGAUCACCAUUCUAACUGGUGUGAGAUAGUAUCUCUUUGUUAACCAUUCACUUUUUAUUCUUCUCAUAUUUCCUCCCAAUUUCAGUGAUGGGAAUGAUCCCUCCUGGUGGAUCAUUUUACCUGUAUUUUGGACCCUACUGAUUUCCAGAUCUUCUUGUUCACUUGUAUUUAUAUAUGUGGCUCCACUGCCUUAAAAUAUACUCAUUCCUGUAUCCAGCAAAUAAAAUGGAAGUUAAUAGUAUACUAGAUAAGAUAUAAAAUAAACAUGUAAACAAAUAGAUAAAUAAUAUCACGUAGUCAAAUAUACUGUGAAGGAAACUAACCAAUAACAGGGCAAAUUUAGGUGUAAAGUCAAGAACUGUUUUUCUGAGGAGGCAUUUGAUCAGAGAGGUGAAUUGUAAGGGCUUAGGCCAUUUGAGUAUACAGUUGACCCUUGAACAACACAGAUUUGAACUGUGUGGGUUCACUUAUUUGUGGAUUUUCUUUUGCCUCUGCCACCCCGAGACAGCAAAACCAACCUCUCACCUUCCUCCUCUUUCUCAGCCUACUCAACAUGAAGAUGUCAGGAUGAAGACCUUUGUGAUGAACUACUUCCACUUAAUGAAUAAUAAAUAUAUUUUCUCUGAUUUUUUUUUCUCUUUUUAGUAGAAGUACGGUCUCACUAUGUUGCCCAGACUAAUCUCAAACUCCGAGAUCAAACUCUGAGCUCAAGUGAUCCUCCCACCUCGGACUUCCAAAGUGCUGGGAUUACAGGCAUGAACCACUGUGCACAGCCUCUGACAGUUUCCUUACUAACGUUCUAACGUUUUCUCUCCCUUACUUUAUUGUAAAAGUAGAGUGUAAAUUACAUGUAACAUAUAAAAUAUGUGUUAAUCGACUGCUUAUAUCAUCAGUAAGGCUUCUGGUCAGCAGUAGCCUAUUAGUAGUUAGGUUUUAUGGAACUUAAAAGCUAUAAAUGAGGCUGAGUACAGUGGCUUGUGCCUGUUAUUCCAACACUUUGGGAGGCUGAGGCAGACAGAUCACUUGAGGCCAGGAUUUCAAGACCAGCCUGGCCAACUUGGCAAAACCUCAUCUCUACUGAAAAAAAACAAAAAUUAGCUGGGCGUGCUGGUGCACGCUUGUAAUCCCAGCUACUCGGGAGGCUGAGGCACAAGAAUGGCUUGAACCUGGGAGGUGGAGGUUGCAGUGAGCCGAGAUCGUGCCACUGCACUCCAGCCUACGUAACAAAGCAACACUCUGUCUCAAAAAAAAAAAAAAAAAAAAAAAAAGGCUAAAAAUGGAUUUUUGACUGCACAGGGCGUUGGCACCCCUAACCUGUAUUGUUUGAGGGUCAACUUGUAUGAGGAAGAGCAUAGCAAGAAGAAUAAACAGCAUAUGCAAAGGCCCUGAAGGGGUUGUGAGUGUUGUGUGUUUCAAGAGCAGCAGGUAGGUCACAAGAUAUGCAGUCAGUAUGUUAUGAGGAAUCUGAUCACAUAAGGUGCCAUUCAUUAAGAACUACAAUUGUAUUCUAAGAUUAAUUAGGAUCCGUGAUCUGAUUUAACUUUGUCUGUUUUUAAUUUUGUGAAAGUUAAAACUUUUGAUUAAUUAUAAGACUUUUUGAGGCAGGGUCUCACUCCGUCAUCCAGGAGGGCGUGCAGUGGUGCGAUCACAGCUCCUAGACCCAAGCAAUUCUCUUGCUUCAGUCUCCCAAGUAGCUAGGGCCACAGGUUUGUGCCACCAUACCUGGAUAAUUUUUUUAUUUUUGUAGAGACAUGGUCUCCCCAUUUUGCCCAAGCUGGUCAGCCUCCCAAAGUGCUGAGAUUACAGGCUUGAGCCAUUGCACCCAGCCAAUUAUAAGACUUACAUAAAACUCUAAAUAAUAACAAACAUAGGUUUGGUGAGUUAUUUAUUUUCUCCCAGAUACUUGUCAUAUAUUUAUUCAUUUUCAUUUAAAACAUUUUUUGUCCAAUAUGAGUGUGUUGGAUUUGUUUUCUUGUUUUUUUAGGUUAAUAUUCUGAAAUUACUUCUUUUACCUCUCCCAUAUUUCUGAGUUCUGUCACUUCCUUUUUGAGUUUUUCUAAUUCUGAUGUAUGUUGUUCUUUCAUUUCUUAUAGUAUUUUUUUAAAUCUUUUGAUUUUAAAUAGUAUAUAGUUUUCCUGUUUUGGUAAUGGAAGAUUUGUUUGUUUUCAUUGGCUAUAUGACUAUUAAGGUGGUAUUAAUCUAAUCUAGAUUGGUACAAAUUUAGGUGUUAAAUUUAAUCCUCAGGAAAACCAUUAGGAAAGUAACUCAAGAAGUAUAUAGUUAAAAAAACAAGGAAAUUAAAUUGGGGACUGGGCACAGUGGCUUAUGCCUGUAAUCCCAGCACUUUCGGAGGCUGAGGUGGGCAGAUCAUUUGAGGUCAGGAGUUGGAGACCAGCCUGGCCAAGAUGGUGAAACCCCGUCUCUAAUAAAAAUACAAAAAAAUUAGCUGGGUAUGGUGGCGCAUGCCUGUAGUCCCAGCUACUUGGGAGGCGGAGCCAGGAGAAUCACUUGUACCCAGGAGGCAGAAGGUGCAGUGAGCCAAGAUCGCGCCAUUGCACUCCAGCCUAGGUGACAGAGCGAGACUCCAUCUCAAAAAAAAAAAAAAAAAAAAAAAAAAAAAGAAAUUAAAUUGGGUACACUAGGAAAUAUGUAUUUAAAUGCAAAUAAAAGCAAGAAUGGAAGCAUAGAGGUGAAAAAAGGACAUAUAGAAAAAUGAACAGAAAAAUGUCAGAGGCCAGGUGUGGUAGCUCAUACCUACAAUAUCAGCACUCUGGGAGGCCAAGGCUGGAGGAUCACUUGAUCCUAGGAGUUUGAGACCAGCCUGGGAAACAUAGUGAGACUCUGUCUAUAAAACAAAAAGUGGCUGGGCGUGGUGGCUCACACCUGUAAUCUCAGCACUUUGGGAGGCCAAGGUGGACGGAUCACUUGAGGUCAGGAGUUCGAGACCAGCCCGGCCAACAUGAUGAAACCCUGUCUCUACUAAAAAUACAAAAAUUAGCCAGGCAUGGUGGCGCACACCUGUAAUCCCAGCUACUUGGGAGGCUGGGGCACAAGAAUCCCUUGAACCUUGGAGGGGGAGGUUGCAGUGAUCCAAGAUCAUGACACUGCAUUCCAGCCUGGGCGAUAGAGGAGACUCUGUCUCCAAAAAAAGAAAAAGAAAAAAAAAGGUGAGAUGUAAAUCUUAUUUUUAUAGUAACUUCCAGGCCAGGCACAGUGGCUUACACCUGUAAUCCCAACACUUUGGGAGGCCAACGCAGUUGGAUCACUUGAGUCCAGGAGUUUGAGACCAGCUUGGGCAAUGUGACAAAACCCCAUCUCUACAAAAGUAUACAAAAAUUUAGCCGGGCAUGGUGGAACAUACCUGUGAUCCCAACUACUUGAGAGGCUGAGUAGAAUUGCUUGGGCCUGAGAGGUCGAGGCUUUAGUGAGCUGUGAUUGCACCACUGUGCUCCAGCCUGAGAGACAGAGUGAGACCUUGUCUCAAAAAAAGAAAUAAAAAAGUAACUUCCAGACAAAAGCUGUUAUUAGAGAAAAGAAGUACAUUUUAUAACAAUAAAUGAUUAGGAUGGGCCCAAUGGCUCAUGCCUGUAAUCUCACCAUUUUGGGAGGCUGAGGCAGGAAGAUCACUUGAGGCCAAGAGUUUGAGACCAGCCUGGCAACAUAGUGAGACCCUAUCUAUACAAAAAAUUUUUACAGUCAGCCAGGUGUGGUGAUGCAUUCUUGUAGUGCCAGCUAUUUGGGAGUCUGAGGCAGGAGCCUAGGAAUUCGAAGUUAUAAUGAACUAUGAUCGUGCCAUUGUAUUUCAGCCUGGGUGACAGAGCAAACCCUAUCUCUAAAAUAAAUUAAUUAAAAAAAAAAAAAAAGCUGGGUGCGGUGCCUCACUCCUAUAAUCCUAGCACUUUGGGAGUCUGAGGUGGGUGGAUUGCCUGAGCUCAAGAGUUCGAGACUAUCCUGGGCAACAUGGCAAAACCCUGAGUCUACUAAAAUACAACAAAAAUUAGCUGGGCAUAGUGGCACAUGCCUGUAGUCCCAGCUACUUGGAAGGCUGAGGCAGAAGAAUUGCUUGAACCCAGGAGGCAGAGGUUAGAGAGAGCCCAGAUCGGGCCACUGCACUCCAGCCUGGGCACCAGAGUGAGACUCUGUCUCAAAAAAUAAAAUGAAAAAAAAUAAAUGAUCUAUCCAUUAAGAAGAUAUAACAAUUAAGAACAUAUAUCAUCACGCCUGUAAUCCCAGCACUUUGGGAGGCUGAGGCGGGCGGAUCACGAGGUCAAGAGGUGGAGACCAUCCUGGCCAACACGGUGAAACCCUGUCUCUACUAAAAAUACAAAACUUAGCUGGGCGUGGUAGUGCACACCUGUGUAGUCCCAGCUACUCUGGAGGCUGAGGCAGGAGAAUUGCUUGAAUCAGGAGGCGGAGGUUUCAGUGAGCCAAGAUUGCACCACUGCACUCCAGCCUGGGUGACGGAGCAACACUCCGUCUCAAAACAACAACAAAACAACAAAAUAUAUCUAUAUAUAUCUAUAUAUAUCUAUAUCAUCUGUUAGUAGAGACCCAGAUAUAUGAAGCAAAACCUGACAGUUGAAGAGAUAGACAAUUGAACAGUAACUUAACCUUCUUCAUAUGGAUAAAGCUACUAUGCAAAAAAUGAAAAAGAAAAUAGACAUUAUGACUAACACUCUCAAGUGUAGACCUAUGGAGUAUUCCACUCUGCAGUAGCAGAAUAUACACUUAUCUCACUUGCACAGGUGAUAUUCCCCAGGAUAGAUCAUAUGUUAGGCCAUAAAACAAGUCUUAAUGAAUGUAAAAGGAUUGAAAUCAUACAAAGUAUACUUUCCAGCCACAAUGGAAUGAAAUGAGAAAGGGGAAUUCAUAAAUAUUUGAUAAACAACAUACUUCUAAAUAUCAGUUGGUCAAAACACAAAUCCAAAGAGAAAUUAGAAAAUACAUUCAGAGGAGGCUGGGCAUGGUGGCUCAUGCCUGUAAUCCCAGCACUUUGGGAGGCCAAGGCGAGUGGAUCACCUGAGGUCAGGAGUUUGAGACCAGCCUGACCAAUAUGGUGAAACCCCGUCCCUCCUAAAAAUGCAAAACUUAGCUGGGCAUGGUGGUGGUGUGCCUGUAAUCCCAGCUACUCGGGAGGCUGAGACAGGAGAAUCCCUUGAAUCCCGGAGGCGGCGGUUGCAGUGACCUGAGAUUGCGCCACUGCACUCCAGCCUGGGCGACAGAGCGACAGAGCGAGACUUGUCUCAAAAAAAAAAAAAAAAAAAGAAAGAAAAGAAAAAGAAAAAGCAAA